AAAUGCUGUCAGAGAGCAAGAAUCACUGAAACAUGAUGGACUACAAAUCUGGGUUGUUAAUUUUUAUCAUCUGCUUUACAGGCAUUUAUUGUCAGACUCUGACAGAAUCUGAACCAGCUGUGAAAAGACCAGGAGAAUCUCACAAACUGACCUGCACAGCCUCUGGUUUCACAUUCAGCAGCUACUGGAUGGCCUGGAUCAGACAGGCUCCUGGAAAAGGACCGGAGUGGAUCGCUUUUAUCAGCAGUGGCAGUGGUAGUAGCAAGUACUACUCACAGUCAGUCCAGGGCAGGUUCACCAUCUCCAGAGACAAUGGAAGAGAUCAGCUGUAUCUGCAGAUGAACAACCUGAGAACAGAAGAUUCUGCUGUUUAUUACUGCGCUCGAGACACACAGUGACUGAAGUUGUUUAAGCAGCUGUACAAAAACCUCAAUCCACUCAAAGUUAUCUAGUGGAUUGUUUUAUUUUCUUUGUUAGACUUGUCUGUAAAACCGACAGUUCUUUAGUUUAU
Non-coding RNA from Poecilia latipinna (sailfin molly), 511 nucleotides. The record is from the annotation of a RefSeq genome assembly. NCBI's taxonomy places the organism in Eukaryota, Metazoa, Chordata, Actinopteri, Cyprinodontiformes, Poeciliidae.